CACGUAGGCGGAUAUUUAAGUCAGGGGUGAAAUCCCAGAGCUCAACUCUGGAACUGCCUUUGAUACUGGGUAUCUUGAGUAUGGAAGAGGUGAGUGGAAUUCCGAGUGUAGAGGUGAAAUUCGUAGAUAUUCGGAGGAACACCAGUGGCGAAGGCGGCUUACUGGUCCAUUACUGACGCUGAGGUGCGAAAGCGUGGGGAGCAAACA
RNAcentral lists this ribosomal RNA (207 nucleotides) under uncultured bacterium. RNAcentral's name for it is "partial 16S ribosomal RNA". It matches the Rfam family "Bacterial small subunit ribosomal RNA", at positions 568 to 774 of the family's 1533-position model. The record is from RNAcentral.